Small nucleolar RNA from Tachyglossus aculeatus (Australian echidna), 133 nucleotides. The record is from RefSeq and is a predicted model, not a curated record. Lineage: Eukaryota; Metazoa; Chordata; Mammalia; Monotremata; Tachyglossidae.
ACCCUCUGAGGAUCACAUCUGGAGAAUUUCUAGUACUCUACCAGGCUCAGCUACACGAGGGAGAGUCAAGCAGAGGCAUUUCCAUUCCUAGCUUGGGCAGUAGCUAGGGAGUGGAAGACAAUCUGCUACAAGU